Molecule: long non-coding RNA, 1291 nt
Filed under: Lactuca sativa (garden lettuce)
Lineage: Eukaryota; Viridiplantae; Streptophyta; Magnoliopsida; Asterales; Asteraceae
Description: long non-coding RNA (LSAT_LNC002591)
Source: RNAcentral
AAGAAACAACCGAUCGAAGAAAGGGUUCCGAUGGCCUUCGAUCGGUAAAAGAAGCAGGGGGAGGAUCUCUGGGGUUUCACUGGACCGAAGGAAGGAGAAGAACGAAGAAUGAAGUUGUUGUCGAUUCUUGGUGGGUGAAGGUUUGAGGAUGUGAGCACCUCUGAUGUUCAAAUUGUCUGCAGAAAAGGGAAGAAGCAGGGAGCCUACUUCUUUUUUGCUCUUGCAGUAAGAUGUGAAGGAGGAUGGGGGAAGGUGGGCUUCGAGAGAGAGAGGGGGGAAAGGUCUUUGGUCCUCAGUUGGUCCGAGAAGAAGAAAUACAAUUGAAGGUAGGAAGUGGGUCGGUGGUGGUAAUCUAUCGCAAAUAGGGAGAAGUCGAAAUACUGCGACCUCCUUAUGGUUGCUCUCUUCGUCAGCAGUAGUAAACAGAUGGGGUAAGGACGAAACACUGAGGCUGCUCUUCUUCUACUCCUGUUAGUGUGGUGCGAAGGAGAAGAAAUGUUGGUGGAGGUUUUUUCGACUGAAAGUGACGAAGAAAGAAGGUGUGUAUGUAAUGCUCACCGAGAACAGCCAUCUACAAUGGUGUUUGGCUUGCUUCGAUCAACAGCAAAGAGGCUGCUGCCUCCUUAAUUUUAUAGAAAAAAAAAAUAACAACUUGUGGGGUGUUUCUUGGCAGUUCACGAAGCAGAAAAACAAAAGAGAUACGAGAGAUAGUUUGGCUAUUUGUUUUGGUUGAAUAAAGGUGAAGGAUUUCUGCGAAUAUGGCUGAUUAUUUGUGUUUCUAAUAUGUGUGUACUUUUGGUUGAUCAUUGAAGCAAUACCUUUGACAAGAUCUUAUGCAGACUUUUGAGUGUGAGGGAAGCUUUUGAGUGUAAAAUUGUAUAUUAUAUGAUCUUCUUCCCUUUUUAAGUAGAUUUUACAUGAUUUGAUUGUAUGCCUUUAUGCAGUUUUGUUUUGUCAGGGCUUGUAGAGGCUACAGCUCUUCCAUAUCUUGGUAUUCAAAUCGGAGAAUGAAGUGUUGAUGAGAAGGCAUAAAUAAUCUUUUUUGCUCAGGUGUAUGACUUUUUAAUUUUAUUUUACUAUUACAUUGUUGAAUUAACUUAUUAUUAAUAGAUUAAGUUGUCUUGUUUGUUUAUGUUUUUCAGCUUCACAAUAGCUAUUUUACUUGCAACACUUUAUAGUGUCACCAACAGAAGUGGACAAAAAUACUUGUAUAGCUAUUGUAAUUAAUUAAUUAUCACUUUAUCAGUCAUAAGUCAUAACUCGUAACUGAAAACAUACUGUUUUUUUUUUU